UAGAAAAACAGGACACGAACCUGCACCUGAGGACUCAAAACCCUACGUACUUCCAUUAUACUAUUUUCU
Molecule: transfer RNA, 69 nt
Filed under: Ctenotus robustus
Lineage: Eukaryota; Metazoa; Chordata; Lepidosauria; Squamata; Scincidae
Description: tRNA-Glu
Source: RNAcentral